Molecule: ribosomal RNA, 879 nt
Filed under: Thermoprotei archaeon
Lineage: Archaea; Thermoproteati; Thermoproteota; Thermoprotei
Description: bacterial SSU rRNA
Rfam family: Archaeal small subunit ribosomal RNA
Source: RNAcentral
UGCGGCCGUAACUCCGGUUGAUCCUGCCGGACCCGACUGCUAUCGGGGUGGGGCUAAGCCAUGCAAGUCUUGGGUCCCAGGCCAUGGUGGGGCCCGGCGUACGGCUCAGUAGCACGUGGCUAACCUACCCUCGGGAGGGGGAUAACCUCGGGAAAGCUCCAUAAAGCAAGUCUUUAUGGAGCCCCGAAACUGAGGUUAAUACCCCAUAGGGGAGAACACCUGGAAUGGGUUCUCCCUGAAAGGGAUGCAACGCCAUGCCCGUUGCAUCCGCCCGAGGAUGGGGCUGCGGCCUAUCAGGUAGUUGGCGGGGUAACGGCCCGCCAAGCCGAUAACGGGUAGGGGCCGUGAGAGCGGGAGCCCCGAGAUGGGCACUGAGACAAGGGCCCAGGCCCUACGGGGCGCAGCAGGCGCGAAACCUCCGCAAUGCGGGAAACCGUGACGGGGUCACCCCGAGUGCCACCCGCUGAGGGUGGCUUUUCCUCGGUCUAAAAAGCCGAGGGAAUAAGCGGGGGGCAAGUCUGGUGUCAGCCGCCGCGGUAAUACCAGCCCCGCGAGAGGGGGAGCCCCUACUAUAAUGGGGCUCCCUUCGCGACUGGUCGGGAUGUUUACUGGGCCUAAAGCGUCCGUAGCCGGCCCGGCAAGUCCUCCCUGAAAUCCACGGGCUCAACCCGUGGGCUGGGGAGGAUACUGUCGGGCUAGGAGGUGGGAGAGGCCGAGGGUACUUCCGGGGUAGGGGCGAAAUCCGUUAAUCCCGGAAGGACCACCAGUGGCGAAGGCGCUCGGCUGGAACACGCUCGACGGUGAGGGACGAAAGCUGGGGGAGCAAAGGGGAUUAGAUACCCCCGUAGUCCCAGCUGUAAACGAUGCGGGCUAGGUGUU